RNAcentral lists this ribosomal RNA (436 nucleotides) under uncultured bacterium. Its description in RNAcentral is "bacterial SSU rRNA". It matches the Rfam family "Bacterial small subunit ribosomal RNA", at positions 59 to 485 of the family's 1533-position model. The record is from RNAcentral.
AAGUCGAACGAUGACUCUCUAGCUUGCUAGAGAUGAUUAGUGGCGGACGGGUGAGUAACAUUUAGGAAUCUGCCUAGUAGUGGGGGAUAGCUCGGGGAAACUCGAAUUAAUACCGCAUACGACCUACGGGUGAAAGGGGGCGCAAGCUCUUGCUAUUAGAUGAGCCUAAAUCAGAUUAGCUAGUUGGUGGGGUAAAGGCCCACCAAGGCGACGAUCUGUAACUGGUCUGAGAGGAUGAUCAGUCACACCGGAACUGAGACACGGUCCGGACUCCCUACGGGAGGCAGCAGUGGGGAAUAUUGGACAAUGGGGGCAACCCCUGAUCCCAGCCCAUGCUCGGCGUGAGUGAAGAAGGAUAUUUAUGGUUUGUAAAAGCUACUUUUAAGCUAGGGUAGGAGAGGGCUAAUUGGUAUAAUACUCUUAUUAGAUUUAGACG